UACGGGGGAUGCAAGCGUUAUCCGGAAUCAUUGGGCGUAAAGCGCCUGUAGGCUGUUUAAUAAGUCUGUUGUUAAAGACUAGGGCUCAACCCUAGAAACGCAAUGGAAACUACUAGACUAGAGUAUGGCAGGGGUAGAGGGAAUUUCUAGUGUAGCGGUGAAAUGCGUAGAUAUUAGAAAGAACACCGGUGGCGAAGGCGCUCUACUGGACCAUUACUGACGCUCAGAGGCGAAAGCUAGGGUAGCAAAAGGGAUUAGAUACCCCUGUAGUCCUAGCCGUAAACGAUGGAUACUAGAUGUUGUGCUAAAGUACAGUAUCCUAGCUAACGCGUUAAGUAUCCCGCCUGGGGAGUACGCUCGCAAGGGUG
RNAcentral lists this ribosomal RNA (368 nucleotides) under uncultured phototrophic eukaryote. RNAcentral's name for it is "SSU rRNA". It matches the Rfam family "Bacterial small subunit ribosomal RNA", at positions 524 to 896 of the family's 1533-position model. The record is from RNAcentral.